Molecule: ribosomal RNA, 292 nt
Filed under: uncultured bacterium
Lineage: Bacteria
Description: partial 16S ribosomal RNA
Rfam family: Bacterial small subunit ribosomal RNA
Source: RNAcentral
GUGUCAGCAGCCGCGGUAAUACGGAGGAUCCAAGCGUUAUCCGGAUUUAUUGGGUUUAAAGGGUGCGUAGGUGGCCUAUUAAGUCAGGGGUGAAAGACGGUAGCUUAACUAUCGCAGUGCCUUUGAUACUGAUAGGCUUGAAUACACUUGAGGUAGGCGGAAUGUGACAAGUAGCGGUGAAAUGCAUAGAUAUGUCACAGAACACCAAUUGCGAAGGCAGCUUACUAAAGUGUGAUUGACACUGAGGCACGAAAGCGUGGGGAUCAAACAGGAUUAGAUACCCCCGUAGUCC